GUACGGACGGUCCGACAUUCAACUUUCACUUAAGCUAUCUUCUUCUAUUUUAUUAUUAUUCCCAAAAUUUAUUAUUUUAGUUUUCGAGUUCUGGUCAGAUUUUGCAAUCAGAUGCGGAUUCGAUGAUAUCAAUCAGCUUUUCUAAUUGUUGGAAACUUCCAAUUUUGUUGUUGAAACAUCGUGUUUUCUCUAAUUCGUUUGUUGAACAACCAAAAUGUUUCUUCUAUUUGUUUCAUAUUCAUAUAUAUAAUUUUUGAGAAUAUCAUAUAGACAUACUUUGGAUAUAUUUUCGUUAUGCAUUCAAGAGGGUUUUUAACAAAUUGUAGUGAUAGUUAUAGUAGACUUGUAGUGUAAUUUAUUCAAAUUUAAUCAUGUCCAAACGACAUACCAAUAUAUAAACUUUCCCUCGAAAUUAAGAAAAUAUCAUCCUUGAUAUUUAUACGAUGGGACAAUAACCAAUAUAACCACGAGAAUUUUAGUUAAUAGUUUGUACGAAUCUAUUAGUGGACCUAAUUAUAAGUGGUCCAAAGCUGUUUGGUUCAAACACUCGGUGCCCAAGCAUGCAUUCAACUUCUGGAUUGCUAACAUGAACCGUCUCCCUGUUAGAGCAAGGUUAUUAUUAUGGGGAAUGAACAUUCCUUCACAUUGCCUCUUCUGCAACUCUCAGCUUAGCCAUCAUCCAUGCAUCUUUGUCAACUGGUCCACUCUGAUCUCUUGGUUAAUGUCCAAAUCUCCAAAUCUCUCGUCCUCCCUAAAGGAUAUAGCAGUUCAGGCAACUAUAUAUUUAUAUGUUGUGGAGGGAAAGGAACAGAAGGCUCCAUGAUGGCAUAUCACUAUCCCCCUCUGCAAUUUGCGCCCAGAUUGAUUGCAGUGUUAGAGACACCCUCUUUGCUCGCCUGUAUCGGAAAGGAUGCGGCCGUCUACUUUCUCAAUGGUUCGCCAAUGGUUAAUUAAACCAGUUAACAUUUUAGUUCCUAUAGAUUUUUAAUUUUUUUUUUGGUCAUAGCUGCUCCGUUUUUUACCCCUAAAGUCUUGUACUUAACAAUGUUCCAUCCGGUUAUAUAAUUCACAUUUUAUCAAAAAAAAAA
Camelina sativa (false flax) is the source of this 1088-nucleotide non-coding RNA. NCBI's taxonomy places the organism in Eukaryota, Viridiplantae, Streptophyta, Magnoliopsida, Brassicales, Brassicaceae. The record is from RefSeq and is a predicted model, not a curated record.